RNAcentral lists this unclassified non-coding RNA (225 nucleotides) under uncultured fungus. RNAcentral describes it as "sequence contains ITS1". The record is from RNAcentral. Lineage: Eukaryota; Fungi.
GUAUUGAUUGCGUGUGACCGCAAAAAUGAACAUUCUACACUGUAUCGAGUUUUAUGUGAAAACGCAGGCCCUCCCACAAAGGGGAGGACCCACGCGGUGAUGCACAAAGGGGUGAGAUGGAUAUUUGUAUGUGAGAGCACUCGGGCGUGCACGACGAAAAGUCAGCGACAACCCGGGUACCCCCAUUGUACGAUAAUGAUCCUUCCGCAGGUUCACCUACGGAAA